Long non-coding RNA from Felis catus (domestic cat), 542 nucleotides. RefSeq lists it as uncharacterized. NCBI's taxonomy places the organism in Eukaryota, Metazoa, Chordata, Mammalia, Carnivora, Felidae. The transcript has 2 exons. The record is from RefSeq and is a predicted model, not a curated record.
AAUGUGUCAAGUCAAAAGUCUGAGUGGACGGGGAGUGUGCAAGGCAGAGACCUCCUUCAAGGCUGGCACUGGGAAGCCUGUUGCCAACCAGUCAAGAUCACAGCCAAGUCGACAGCCACUUCACAAGGCUGAGGAGAGAAGUCAGAGCCAGAAGGCAACUUGGAUUUUAUAGGAAGAAAACUUUCGUGAGUUUCUCCUCUUUAAGGGUAUUUUUAUCCGUCAGUCCAGAUGGACCAAUAUGAUGGACCAAUCCAUAGCAUUUGGAUGAAAUUAUUCUCUUUCGAUCUUUGGAGUUCACAUCAUCACAAAUGCUCCAUUUCUAUUGAAAGCAAUUUUCUGUGAAGAUUUCUGAGAUGCUAAUGGAAAAGGUGCCACCAAAUAUGAAGACUUAUGAAUUCUGAUGUGAAUACCACAGAAACGCAAAUGAAUGGUAAAUGCCAAAGAAGUCUACAGCUGAUUUUUGAAGAUGUAUGUUAUACAAUAUACCCAAGAUGACAGAUAAUGCAUCAUGCAAAAUGAGAUAAAGACUGCUUCUUCAACUA